RNAcentral lists this ribosomal RNA (462 nucleotides) under uncultured bacterium. RNAcentral's name for it is "bacterial SSU rRNA". It matches the Rfam family "Bacterial small subunit ribosomal RNA", at positions 1 to 507 of the family's 1533-position model. The record is from RNAcentral.
AGUACGUCACGAGUUUGAUCAGUGCUCAAGACGAACGCUGGCGGCAUGCCUAANACAUGCAAGUCGAACGAGACCUUCGGGUCUAGUGGCGCACGGGUGCGUAACACGUGGGAAUUUGCCUCGGGGUAUGGAAUAACUCAGGGAAACUUGAGCUAAUACCAUAUAAUGUCUUCGGACCAAAGAUUUAUCGCCCUGAGAUAAGCCCGCGUAGGAUUAGCUAGUUGGUGGGGUAAAGGCUCACCAAGGCGACGAUCCUUAGCUGGUCUGAGAGGAUGAUCAGCCACACUGGGACUGAGACACGGCCCAGACUCCUACGGGAGGCAGCAGUGGGGAAUAUUGGACAAUGGGCGAAAGCCUGAUCCAGCAAUGCCGCGUGAGUGAUGAAGGCCUCCGGGUUGUAAAGCUCUUUUACUCGGGACGAUAAUGACGGUACCGAGAGAAUAAGCCCCGGCUAACUCCGUG